UAAACACAAAAGUCUUGUUAGAAGACAUUUAUUUGGGAUGAGGAAAGGAAACUGAGGACAGGGUACAGGAGUAAUAGCAAUUCCCUGUAGCUCUCAAAGCAAAUUUUGAGCUCAUUUUUCUUUUUCUGCAAGCUCAGCAGCAGAAUGCCCAGAGUCUUCCCUGGUAGAUGCAGAAUGCCCAGAGUCUUCCCUGGUAGAUGCAGGUUCCAUAGCGACGUUCUCCUGCAAUGCACGCUGGUAUUCUGCAAUAGCAGGCCAUAGUCUUCCCUGGUAGAUGCAGGUUCCAUAGCGACGUUCUCCUGCAAUGCACGCUGGUAUUCUGCAAUAGCAGUCCAUGUUUUUCCUUGAGCCUGGGACAGGGAGAGCAUGAGAAAUUGAGUAUGGAGUUA
RNAcentral lists this long non-coding RNA (389 nucleotides) under Homo sapiens (human). Its description in RNAcentral is "HSALNT0344824". The record is from RNAcentral. Lineage: Eukaryota; Metazoa; Chordata; Mammalia; Primates; Hominidae.